UGCCAGCAGCCGCGGUAACACGGAGGGUGCAAGCGUUGUUCGGAAUUACUGGGCGUAAAGCGCGCGUAGGCGGCUUUUUAAGUCAGAUGUGAAAGUCCACGGCUCAACCGUGGAAGUGCGUUUGAAACUGGAAAGCUUGAGUAUCAGAGGGGAUGGUGGAAUUCCCGGUGUAGAGGUGGAAUUCGUAGAUAUCGGGAGGAAUACCGGUGGCGAAGGCGACCACCUGGCCAGAUACUGACGUUGAGGUGCGAAAGCGUGGGGAGCAAACAGGAUUAGAUA
Molecule: ribosomal RNA, 279 nt
Filed under: uncultured bacterium
Lineage: Bacteria
Description: partial 16S ribosomal RNA
Rfam family: Bacterial small subunit ribosomal RNA
Source: RNAcentral